Molecule: ribosomal RNA, 253 nt
Filed under: uncultured bacterium
Lineage: Bacteria
Description: partial 16S ribosomal RNA
Rfam family: Bacterial small subunit ribosomal RNA
Source: RNAcentral
UACGUAGGGGGCUAGCGUUGUCCGGAAUCAUUGGGCGUAAAGCGCGCGUAGGCGGCCAGAUAAGUCCGGUGUGAAAGUCACAGGCUCAACCUGUGAAUGCCGCUGGAAACUGUCUGGCUAGAGUCCGGAAGGGGCGAGUGGAAUUCCUGGUGUAGCGGUGAAAUGCGCAGAUAUCAGGAGGAACACCUGUGGUGUAGACGGCUUACUGGACCAUGACUGACGCUGAGGCACGAAAGCGUGGGGAUCAAACAGG